Equus caballus (horse) is the source of this 105-nucleotide microRNA precursor. NCBI's taxonomy places the organism in Eukaryota, Metazoa, Chordata, Mammalia, Perissodactyla, Equidae. The record is from Ensembl.
ACGUCCCUUACCCCCCCACAUCUUAGCAGCAAACAGCAGCCUCUGCCAUAGAGGUUGGUGCUACGUGCAGUGGGAGGUCAGGGGAGUCUGGGAUGGCAGACACUU